Molecule: ribosomal RNA, 253 nt
Filed under: uncultured bacterium
Lineage: Bacteria
Description: partial 16S ribosomal RNA
Rfam family: Bacterial small subunit ribosomal RNA
Source: RNAcentral
GACAGAGGGUGCAAACGUUGCUCGGAAUCACUGGGCGUAAAGGGCGUGUAGGCGGGAAGGAAAGUCAGAUGUGAAAUCCCUGGGCUCAACCCAGGAACUGCAUUUGAAACUCCCUUUCUUGAGUACCGGAGAGGAAGGUGGAAUACCUGGUGUAGAGGUGAAAUUCGUAGAUAUCUGGAGGAACACCGGUGGCGAAGGCGGCAUCCUGGACCGGCAUUGACGCUGAGGCGCGAAAGCCAGGGGAGCAAACGGG